RNAcentral lists this long non-coding RNA (628 nucleotides) under Trifolium pratense (red clover). Its description in RNAcentral is "long non-coding RNA (TPRA_LNC001134)". Lineage: Eukaryota; Viridiplantae; Streptophyta; Magnoliopsida; Fabales; Fabaceae. The record is from RNAcentral.
UUGAAGAUAUACAAGUACCACAAUUAUUUAUCGACACAAAUAAACAAAGCAUAUAACUUUUACAACAUAAAGUGAUCAAUAAAUUGCUAUUUGUUGCAAGCUUUGGAGAAAAAAAUAUGGCUGAAAUUAUUAAGUUUGCUUAUUUAAUUAUCUUCUUUAUUUCUUUGUUUCUUGCUGUAUCUAACGAUCUUAGUGGUAAAUCAUUUUUGCAUCCUUUUGAAUUUUCUUGUUUAUCUUAUACAAAAUAUUUCAUCCCUUAUAGUAACUUUUGUUUCUUAAUUUUAUAUCACAGCAUUGUGAAAAAUUGCAAAGAGGAUGCUAAUUGUCAAUACUAUUAUUGUCUACGUUCCAAAAUGCGUUUGUCGUACAUGUAAAUGUCUUCCUCCGAGAUCCUCAUUUAUUAGAAGAUGACUUUAGUGAUAAGAAAUUGAUAUCGUAACUUCAAGGAACGUACGUAGUUAAGUUACUUUGUGUAAGAUGUACAAUUGUAAAAUAACUAUUAAAACUCACUUUUAUAUUAAUAAUAAUAAAUUUCAUCUUUGUUUAAAAUAUGUUACCGUCAAAGAUAGUAAUGAUUAUACUAGCUAGCUAGUUAAUUGUAUUUGCUUAAUUCUAAGCCUAUAAUUUU